Molecule: non-coding RNA, 45 nt
Organism: Takifugu rubripes (torafugu)
Lineage: Eukaryota; Metazoa; Chordata; Actinopteri; Tetraodontiformes; Tetraodontidae
Source: Rfam
UGAACGGCUCUUUUCAGAGCCACAAUCCGACUAACGGGGCAGGUU